Molecule: ribosomal RNA, 302 nt
Filed under: uncultured bacterium
Lineage: Bacteria
Description: partial 16S ribosomal RNA
Rfam family: Bacterial small subunit ribosomal RNA
Source: RNAcentral
GCAGUAGCCGCGGUAAUACGUAGGGUGCAAGCGUUAAUCGGAAUUACUGGGCGUAAAGCGUGCGCAGGCGGUUUGUUAAGACAGAUGUGAAAUCCCCGGGCUCAACCUGGGAACUGCAUUUGUGACUGGCAAGCUAGAGUGUGGCAGAGGGGGGUGGAAUUCCGCGUGUAGCAGUGAAAUGCGUAGAUAUGCGGAGGAACACCGAUGGCGAAGGCAGCCCCCUGGGACAACACUGACGCUGAGGCACGAAAGCGUGGGGAGCAAACAGGAUUAGAUACCCGCGUAGUCCCUGUCUCUUAUAU